Molecule: long non-coding RNA, 1244 nt
Filed under: Mytilus galloprovincialis (Mediterranean mussel)
Lineage: Eukaryota; Metazoa; Mollusca; Bivalvia; Mytilida; Mytilidae
Source: RNAcentral
GCAAAUGGAUUCAUGACAAAAUUGUGUUUUGGUGAUGGUGAUGUGUUUGUACAUCUUACUUUACUGAACAUUCUUGCUGCUUACAAUUAUUUCUAUCUAUAAUGAACUUGGCCCAGUAGUUUCAGUGGAAAAUGUAAGUUAAAAUUUACAAAUUUUAUGAAAAUUGUUAAAAAUUGACUAUAAAGGACAAUAACUCCUUAGGGGUCAAUUGACCGUUUCCGUCAUGUUGACUUAUUUGUAAAUCUUACUUUGCUUUACAUUAUUGAUGUUUAUUACAUUGGUUGCAAUGAAUUACAUUGAUUUCCCAGUCAAAUAAAAACCGAUAAUUUUACACGUGAAAUAAACGUGGUUAUUUCACUCUCUGACGUCAUACAACAAUAGGCGUUGUCAAGACGUCGAUAACGUCGGAUCAAAACAUGCGUAGGAAAAACAUAUAGUUCCUUACAUUUUCUACAUUAAUUUCAUAAAAAAAGAGCCAUUUGCCAAUGUAAUAAAAAGAAUAACUAAUCAAAGAAUUCAAAUAUCGAAAAAUAUUCAACUCGUGACCGAACAACACUGAUAAUUAACUCAUGCGCUACGCGCAUUCGUGAAUUAAUGUGUUGUUCGGUCACUCGUUGAAUAUUUUUCUCUAUUUGAAUUCUUCGAUUAGUUAUUCUAUAAUUACAGUUUAUCUCUAUCUAUAAUAAUAUUCAAGAUAAUAACCAAAAACAGCAAAAUUUCCUUAAAAUUACCAAUUCAGGGAGAGCAACCCAACAACGGGUUGUCAGAUUCAUCUGAAAAUUUCAGGGCAGAUAGAUCUUGACCUGAUAAACAAUUUUACCCCAUGUCAGAUUUGCUCUAAAGGCUGCGGUUUCAGAGUUAUAAGCCAAAAUCUACAUGUCACCCCUAUGUUCUAUUUUUAGCCAUGGCGGCCAUCUUGGUUGGUUGGCCGGGUCACCGGACACAAUUUUUAAACAAGAUACCCCAAUGAUGAUUGUGGCCAAGUUUGGUUUAAUUUGGCCCAGUAGUUUCAGAGGAGAAAAUUUUGUAAAAGAUAACUAAGAUUUACGAAAAAUGGUUAAAAAUUGACUAUAAAGGGCAAUAACUCCUAAAGGGAUCAACAGACCAUUUUGGUCUUGUUGACUACUUAUUUGUAGAUCUUACUUUGCUGAACAUUAUUGCUGUUUACAGUUUAUCUCUAUCUAUAAUAAUAUUCAAGAUAAUAACCAAAAACAGCAAAAUUUCCUUAAAAUUACCAAUUCAGG